RNAcentral lists this long non-coding RNA (230 nucleotides) under Elaeis guineensis (African oil palm). Its description in RNAcentral is "long non-coding RNA (EGUI_LNC033218)". The record is from RNAcentral. Lineage: Eukaryota; Viridiplantae; Streptophyta; Magnoliopsida; Arecales; Arecaceae.
GCCGGACGACAGCCGACUGAACGCGUCGGAAGAGACCCGACUACCGCACUUUUAUCCCGCGGUUGGUCGGCUUCCGACUCAACGGACGCACCCGACUCAUGGCCGGAGGAAGGAUGCCCGACUUACGACCUCGACCACCGAAGGCCGAUCCAAAGUCGGGACUUGACCUACCUUCGUGGCAGCGCGAGUUGCCGAACGACCUAACCGACCUAUAUGAGUCGGCGACCUAU